Molecule: long non-coding RNA, 1252 nt
Filed under: Capra hircus (goat)
Lineage: Eukaryota; Metazoa; Chordata; Mammalia; Artiodactyla; Bovidae
Description: lncRNA (ENSCHIG00000004904.1)
Source: RNAcentral
AUAUAAUCAGUCUGAUUUCAGUGUUGACCAUCUGGUGAUGUCCAUGUGCAGAGUCUUCUCUUGUGUUGUUGGAAGAGGGUGUUUGCUAUGACCAGUGCAUUCUCUAUGCGGUAUUAGUAUUUUUAGUAUUCUGAAGAUUGUAUGAUUCAUUUCUUCUGCAGGUGUAGUUUUUCUUACAGAAGAAUAUCCAGUUAUUUCAUGAUGGCAUUUGCACCUCCAAAAACCACAAAUGGUCCCAAAAUGCAGACAAAGAUGAAUACCUGGACACCCCUAAACCAUCAGCUUUUGAAUGACUGGGUAUUUGAAGAAAGAAGGGCUCUGCUUGGAAAAUGGUCACCGCUUCUUUUCUGUGCUGGUCUACAAGCUCCAGUCUAAAGAUAUUUACUAACCUAAAGAAGGAAAAACAAAGUCAUGUACACAAUGUUUCUGGAGGACUUUACAUAUCCCCUGGAGAAAGAAAUGGCAACCCAUUCCAGUAUCCUUGCCUGGAAAACCCCAUGUGCUGGGAGCAAGCGUGAGGAACUCUGCCCAUGGCAAAGGUCAUGAGGAAGGCGGCUUCGGCAUACGCAAAGGUGGGAUCGAGCCUCAGGAAACCCCCUGUGCCCGAGCAUCUACCCCCAAAACCAGAGUCUACCUACUUUACUGUUUCAUGCUCUCACCUACACCUCUGACUUUAUGGGGGGCUGUUCCCCACCGGUUCUCUUGGAAAAGGAGUAAACUUGCAGCUCCAGUCAAUAAAAAUUCCUGGGCGUGACAAGGAUGUCUCAGGUCAAACCUCUCUGCUGGCAGACUAGUUUGUGUGACAAGAUUAUCCAUAUUCCUGCCACUAUGCACAUGAUUGUUUACUACCUCUCAACCAUAAACAGCACAGAGAGUUUGGAGUAUUUUGAAAAUCUUAAUUAGCAUAGGGCUUUUCUCAUUGUUGAGUCAAUGAUUGCCGCCAGACCUCCAUAUCCUUAGGCACCUGGGAAUAUAUUAAUGUAUUUGGAAUAUAGAAAAGGAAAUAGAGUAGUUUUUGAUGUUAGCAAUACUAGACUUUUUGAGUUAAUGAAUUUUCUUUUGUUAUAGAUCACUGUACUUUGUUAUAAAUCACUGUGUCCUUGCUAUGCAAAAAUGUAACUUUAUCACUAUCUUAAGACUAAAUAGAUCUUAAGGGGAACAUUGGUGAAGGGUUUUCAUUUGUUGGGCUGAUGUUUGCUGCUAAAUCUCCAUAUUCCCUGCCCUUAUAAUGAAUAUAACUAGCAUAUAGGAG